Molecule: transfer RNA, 76 nt
Filed under: Terriglobia bacterium
Lineage: Bacteria; Pseudomonadati; Acidobacteriota; Terriglobia
Description: tRNA-His
Rfam family: tRNA
About the family: Transfer RNA (tRNA) molecules are approximately 80 nucleotides in length. Their secondary structure includes four short double-helical elements and three loops (D, anti-codon, and T loops). Further hydrogen bonds mediate the characteristic L-shaped molecular structure. tRNAs have two regions of fundamental functional importance: the anti-codon, which is responsible for specific mRNA codon recognition, and the 3' end, to which the tRNAs corresponding amino acid is attached (by aminoacyl-tRNA synthetases). tRNAs cope with the degeneracy of the genetic code in two manners: having more than one tRNA (with a specific anti-codon) for a particular amino acid; and 'wobble' base-pairing, i.e. permitting non-standard base-pairing at the 3rd anti-codon position.
Source: RNAcentral
GUGAGCGUAGCUCAGCCGGUAGAGCAUCGGUCUGUGGCACCGAGGGUCGCGGGUUCAAACCCCGCCGCUCACCCCA